Molecule: ribosomal RNA, 467 nt
Filed under: uncultured bacterium
Lineage: Bacteria
Description: partial 16S ribosomal RNA
Rfam family: Bacterial small subunit ribosomal RNA
Source: RNAcentral
GACGAACGCUGGCGGCGUGCUUAACACAUGCAAGUCGAACGGAAAGGCCCUGCUUUUGUGGGGUGCUCGAGUGGCGAACGGGUGAGUAACACGUGAGUAACCUGCCCUUGACUUUGGGAUAACUUCAGGAAACUGGGGCUAAUACCGGAUAGGAGCUCCUGCUGCAUGGUGGGGGUUGGAAAGUUUCGGCGGUUGGGGAUGGACUCGCGGCUUAUCAGCUUGUUGGUGGGGUAGUGGCUUACCAAGGCUUUGACGGGUAGCCGGCCUGAGAGGGUGACCGGCCAAAUUGGGAAUGAGAUCGGGCCCAGACCCCUACGGGGGGCAGCAGUGGGGAAUUUUGCACAAGGGGGGGAAGCCUGAUGCAGCAACCCCGCGGGGGGGGUGACGGCCUUGGGGUUGUAAACCUCUUUCCCCUGGGACGAAGCGGGAGUGACGGUAAUGGGAAAAGAAGCACCGGCUAACUACGG